AUUGCUGAGAAAUUCCUAAGGAAUAUUUUCCUAGGGCAGCAAUCGGCCUCUGAGAAAACUCCAUGGUCCAGUUCCAGUCCCCAUCCUGCGCAAAUAGUAGCAGUUCCAUUUUAAUGAUUAUGCAACAGAAAAAGAGUGUGAAUACUUUAUUUACUUUGAAGAAAGGGAAAGAAAUAUGGAGAUUCAGUUGCUGUUGAAAGGGGAAUUACCUCCAUACACCAGCAAAGAAUAUGCAAAAUCAGAUGCUCCAAAGUUCACACCAUCAAAAACAAAGGCUAUUGAGUUGAUAGGUUGUGUAGCUGCAACGAACUGGUGGAGAGAUACAAAGGAAAAUUCAGUUCAAGUUAUUGAUACCCAAAU
Long non-coding RNA from Hevea brasiliensis (rubber tree), 360 nucleotides. RefSeq lists it as uncharacterized. NCBI's taxonomy places the organism in Eukaryota, Viridiplantae, Streptophyta, Magnoliopsida, Malpighiales, Euphorbiaceae. The transcript has 3 exons. The record is from RefSeq and is a predicted model, not a curated record.